GGACGAACGCUGGCGGCAGGCUUAACACAUGCAAGUUGAACGGGAUUUGUGUGGUGCUUGCACCAUAUAAUGAGAGUAGCGCACUGGUGAGUAACACGUGGGAACGUGCCUUUUAGUGGGGGAUAACAUCUGGAAACGGAUGCUAAUACCGCAUACGCCCUGAGGGGGAAAGAUUUAUUGCUAAGAGGUCGGCCCGCGGUAGAUUAGGCAGUUGGUGGGGUAAAGGCCUACCAAACCUACGAUCUAUAGCUGGUCUGAGAGGACGAUCAGCCACAUUGGAACUGAGACACGGUCCAGACUCCUACGGGAGGCAGCAGUGAGGAAUAUUGGGCAAUGGAGGCAACUCUGACCCAGCCAUGCCGCGUGAGUGAGAAGGUUUUCGAAUUGUAAAGCUCUUUCGGGUGUGAAGAUGAUGACGGUAACACCAGAAGAAGCCCCGGCAAACUUCGUG
RNAcentral lists this ribosomal RNA (451 nucleotides) under uncultured bacterium. RNAcentral's name for it is "bacterial SSU rRNA". It matches the Rfam family "Bacterial small subunit ribosomal RNA", at positions 27 to 507 of the family's 1533-position model. The record is from RNAcentral.